UGGGGGAUAUUGCACAAUGGGCGAAAGCCUGAUGCAGCGACGCCGCGUGGGGGAUGAAGGCUUUCGGGUUGUAAACCUCUUUCGCUAUCGAACAAGGCCCGCUUAGGGUGGGUUGAGGGUAGGUGGAGAAGAAGCGCCGGCUAACUACGUGCCAGCAGCCGCGGUAAUACGUAGGGCGCGAGCGUUGUCCGGAAUUAUUGGGAGUAAAGGGCUUGUAGGCGGCUUGUUGCGCCUGCUGUGAAAACGCGGGGCUUAACUUCGCGCGUGCAGUGGGUACGGGCAGGCUUGAGUGUGGUAGGGGUGACUGGAAUUCCAGGUGUAGCGGUGGAAUGCGCAGAUAUCUGGAGGAACACCGAUGGCGAAGGCAGGUCACUGGGCCAUUACUGACGCUGAGGAGCGAAAGCAUGGGUAGCGAACAGG
RNAcentral lists this ribosomal RNA (420 nucleotides) under bacterium. RNAcentral's name for it is "partial 16S ribosomal RNA". It matches the Rfam family "Bacterial small subunit ribosomal RNA", at positions 355 to 776 of the family's 1533-position model. The record is from RNAcentral.